AGAGCAGGACUUAUCGGGAACGCCCUGCUUUGUUUGCGAGAGCAGGACUUAUGGGGGAACACCCUGUUUGCAAGCAUGAAGUCCUCUACAGACCGCCCUGCUCCACCUUAUCUGUUGGCUCUCCACUUGCCUCAACUGAUAGCAGAGGAGAGAGAAUAGGAGCAUGGACGUGGAGUGGGGCUGGAUCCGGAGUGAUAGAUGUGAGGGGCUGAGUUGAUGCUUUUCUCUAUUUUCAUGCAUGUUUGAACAUUUCUAUAAGAAGCAAAGUUGAGGCAUAUUAUCAUAUAGAUGGAGAAAUAAAGACUGACCUAGGGAUAACACACAAGAAGUAUAGAAGUAUUUUCUGGUUUGAAUCAACCUUUGGAUGUCUCACUUUUUGGAGUGUAGAGGGGUGGAGCCUGGCUUCAGGGCUGUGCUGGAAGACAGAGGGUUGGCAUUUCCUCAGUCUGUCUGGCUGUAGGCACGAGACUCUUUUGACACAGGAGGCAGUAUCAAUUUAGACCCAGAGAAAUCUCAGCAAUCAUGCCACAAGCAGCCGCUUUUCUCCAGAGCCUUGUCUGUAUGUGUAGUUUCCAGGACAUGGUUGGGGCAGCCAAGCCGAGGAGCUGCUGGACCUACAGAACUGCGAGUCCCACAGUUUCCCUGUGGAUUCUGAGUGACACGGCGGCCCUGGCUCGAACCAGCCCCACCGUUUCCCCGUGGAUUCUGAGUGACAUGGCAGCCCUGGCCUGAGCCGGCAGGACAGUCGCUGGCUGCCUGUGCUCCUGUGGACCCAGGGCCUGUCUCAAGGCCUGCCUGCUGUCAGUCAAGCAUGCUGGCGGAUGCGGGGCCCUUUCCCGCCACACGUCCAAUCGUGAUCAAAGGAGGAUGAGCAUGGAGAAAAGUGUCCUUCCAGUUCAUUCAGAGAGCAACCUGCUGCAUGAUGACUUCACUAGUACAUGGAAUGGAAGGGAAGGGUUUCCUCUUAAGCCAUUUGCAGCAUUUCACCCUGUGCCUUUUCUGCAUGAAUCUGGAAUCCCCACACUUGUAGAACAUCCAACAAGCUUCCUUCCGAGUUCCUUAGACUCAGGUCUAGGAAUCAGAUACUUUUUAUGUAUUAUCGAUGGCAUCUUAUAUGAGUAAACUGCAUCCCUCAUGCAGUCUUGCAAUCCGACAGUUUCAGCCUAUGAAGGUUUUGUUGCUGGCGGGGACAGCUGGCUGAUUGUUUGAACCCUAGGGCAGAAAAGCACACUGAAAAGGCGGAACAUUUAGCUUUCAGUAAACUCGUUACAUCUUACACUUUAUUUACGAUGGUGGUUUACUCAGACUCUAAAGUUAUUUUCUUAUUUAUUUUGCAGAACAUUCUGAUGUAAAAUCCCAUGGAUUUUACGGUGUGCUGCACAGACCCACGGCACAGUGAGUGGAAAGUCAUCCAAGCGUCUAGUCUUCCUGGGUCAGCAGUAUAGAAUGGGUUCAGGAGUGUGUGACUCUUGUACACUUCAAAAGCCUGGAGACAAGUACUUCCCAGCUGUGCGGCAGAAGUGGGCCCUGGGUACAGAGCCGGAAGAUUCCAGAUUCUCUGCAUCGCUGACCCAGAGCUGCCUCCAUAUCCCUGGCUGCUCAGAGAGGCCUGAAGGCCCCAAGAGCAGGUGCAGGGGAGCGGGUGGCUCUGGCUGUUAUAUAUUGAGGCAGGGCCGCUGGCUCCUGCUUCGACCUCUCUGCCUUUGAACUGGUUGUCCUGGGACAGGAGACAGGUUGCUCUUUUCCCUCAACGCUACCCACGAACUUCUUUGAGAGAAUACUGUAUGCAGCCAGCACUAAAAUGACAGAGUUCUCAUGCACCAUUCUGCUUAAUUGUGUUGGCGAUCUUGCUUGACUGCAUUGGAGGAUAAAAAACAUACCAGCGUUUGCUUAAAUCCAGACUCCUAUGCUGAUUAUUCUCAUUUUUGGUUUCAAUGCAGCACUUCUUUUAUUUGAACAGCAGCACCACGUUCUGUUCUUAGCUGAGGGCAGCACACAGCAGGUGGUGGAAUAACCCUGCCCGCCACGGUAGGAACAGAGGCAUAGGAACUAUUAGCAAUUCAAAUGGCUGAGCUCCCUCGAACCUCCGAGUUUUACAUGUGUAUCCGGGAUAACUAUGGGUGUUUGUACAAGAACAAACAUCAGGACUGGGGUAUAAUUUUCCCAAAGUAGUCACUCAAACUACCGUGGGUCAGAGAUCGUAGAACAGGAAGCCCUCGUGGACGUCAACAACAAAAUAAGGGAAAUUAAAUGUAUGCUGGAUGCAAGUGGGUGUGCCAAAUGAUGCGUCCUUGAAAUCAUCUCUCCUUGUGACCUGUUCCUUUUCUCUACCCCAGAGACAAUGUGCCCAGACCAUGGUGGAUUUUGGAUUCUUCUUGAAGGCGGGUUCCUAGGUUGUGGGGAGUUGGCUCUGCUGGUGGGGGAGGCCAGGGCUCCGUUCAUCGCCUUGCUGAGUUCCCUGUGACUGCAGGCUUCCCCCAGGCUGCAGGAAUAUAUCACCACGCCAUUGUCACAGGAGCUUGGGUAGCUGAAAAGUGGCCAAGGGACUCGAACAUCUGUAUUUUCUAUGGAAAGAUAAUAGAAUUCAUUUUCCAAUUGUUCAUCGAGGUAAAAAUGCUGAAUUCAAUCUCCAUGUAUGACACUUGCAGGGAAAUUUGAAACGGGGAUGUUCAGGACGGCUGUGGGGGUUUCCGUGCUAAUGCCAUUUUACAGACUCACUGGCCGUACCCCCGCCUUGGUACCCGAGGCAUUUCAGUGACAUGCGAACCUGGAAGAUGAAGAGCAGGUCUCUCCUACACUGAAAUGGGUUCCUGCUGGCACAGUGCAUCGCUCCUCUGCACAUAGGUUUAUAUUCAAGGUUGGAAAAGAGAGAGCUGCCCAGCCUCAGGAGUGUACCCACCAGGAAGUCCGCUGCUGCUGGUCGUCCAUGGGAAGAGAGCCCACAGGCAUCUGCCACAUGACCGUGGUGGCAUCACUGGCUGAGGAGGCACAGCCCUGCCAGAUGUUGUACAGUCUUUGCCUUUAAUUCUGGUCCUUCCUGCUGGCUCCCCGUCAUCAUGUGACUCUUUUUCCUCCUUCUUGGGUAACGGAUGAGAGCAAUGAUACAGGAGUUAAGAAGAAAUGACUUAGGCAGAUAGUGAGGGUAGGGAAGUCCUCGGUAAGGCUUUCCUUUUAAUGAAAAGCAGCCCCAAAUCAUUUUCCUUUCUAACAAAGAGCAGCCUGUAAAAUCAAGCUGUGGCAUAGAUGCGGGCAGUUGUGCCAAUCAUGUUCAAAAUGGCGGCUCCAUCUUCCCUUCUGUCAGGCAGCUGUACAGUGAGGAGCAGACAAGAUGGCGCCGGCCAAGGGGAAAGUUCAUUUGCGUAAUAAGAUCUGGGUGGGGCGGCCAGUCUUCCCCGAGCGCUACCUAAACGUCAUACGUGAUCGAACCAAUCUGUGAGCCCCACGUAAAUCAGACACCGCCUCUUCAAGCUGGACUAGAAAAAUCCAGCGCAUCCACCUGCUGGCCUAUUCCUCUGGGAAGUUCCCUCUCUCGCUCUCCAGAGAGAGCUGUUUCCUUUCUCUUUUUCUUGCUCCUAAACUCCUCGUGUGUGUCCGUGUCCUAAAUUUUCCUGGCACGAGAGGAUGAACCCCAGGUAUUUACCCCAGACAAGGUAGCCACUUGGGUAACAGUCUGUCAAGUUUACCCCAAGGCCAUGCAGUUUUGUUGUUGGGGGGAUUUGCAUAUUUCUUUUGUAAAAAUAUUGUUACAAUUAAACCCAGUUGAGUAAAGUGUGCCCAUGGAA
Non-coding RNA from Macaca mulatta (Rhesus monkey), 3782 nucleotides. Lineage: Eukaryota; Metazoa; Chordata; Mammalia; Primates; Cercopithecidae. The record is from RefSeq and is a predicted model, not a curated record.